AUGGAGAUGUUAGUUUACAUAUACCGAAAUUGGAAUGAUACAGAAAGUUAUUUUGGCCCCUGUGAAAGGAUGACAGGCUUUACCUGAAAUGUUCCACAAUAUG
RNAcentral lists this small nuclear RNA (103 nucleotides) under Periophthalmus magnuspinnatus. Lineage: Eukaryota; Metazoa; Chordata; Actinopteri; Gobiiformes; Gobiidae. The record is from RNAcentral.